This 251-nucleotide ribosomal RNA is filed under the name uncultured bacterium. RNAcentral's name for it is "partial 16S ribosomal RNA". It matches the Rfam family "Bacterial small subunit ribosomal RNA", at positions 524 to 776 of the family's 1533-position model. The record is from RNAcentral.
UACAGAGGGUGCAAGCGUUAAUCGGAAUUACUGGGCGUAAAGCGUGCGUAGACGGUAGCGUAAGUCGGGUGUGAAAGCCCGGGCUCAACCUGGGAAUUGCAUUCGAGACUGCUCUGCUAGGUGCGGAAGAGGGAAGCGGAAUUUCCGGUGUAGCGGUGAAAUGCGUAGAUAUCGGAAGGAACACCAGUGGCGAAAGCGGCUUCCUGGUCCAGCACCGACGUUCAGGCACGAAAGCGUGGGGAGCAAACAGG